GAUGAACGCUGGCGGCGUGCUUAACACAUGCAAGUCGAACGGAAAGGCCCCGCUUUUGUGGGGUUCUCGAGUGGCGAACGGGUGAGUAACACGUGAGUAACCUGCCCUUGACUUUGGGAUAACUUCAGGAAACUGGGGCUAAUACCGGAUAGGAGCUCCUGCUGCAUGGUGGGGGUUGGAAAGUUUCGGCGGUUGGGGAUGGACUCGCGGCUUAUCAGCUUGUUGGUGGGGUAGUGGCUUACCAAGGCUUUGAAGGGUAGGCGGCCUGUGAGGGUGACCGGCCACAUUGGGCCUGCGAUACGGCCCAGACUCCUACGGGAGGCAGCAGUGGGGAACAUUGCACAAUGGGCGGAAGCCUGUUACAGCAACGCCGGGUGCGGAAAGACGGCCUUCGGGUUAUGAACCGCUUUCGCCUGUGACGAAGCGUGAGUGACGGUAAUGGGUAAAGAAGCACCGGCUAACUACGUG
This 468-nucleotide ribosomal RNA is filed under the name uncultured bacterium. RNAcentral describes it as "partial 16S ribosomal RNA". It matches the Rfam family "Bacterial small subunit ribosomal RNA", at positions 28 to 507 of the family's 1533-position model. The record is from RNAcentral.